GAUGAACGCUGGCGGCGUGCCUAAUACAUGCAAGUCGAGCGAACAGACGAGGAGCUAGCUCCUCUGACGUUAGCGGCGGACGGGUGAGUAACACGUGGAUAACCUACCUAUAAGACUGGGAUAACUUCGGGAAACCGGAGCUAAUACCGGAUAAUAUAUUGAACCGCAUGGUUCAAUAGUGAAAGACGGUUUUGCUGUGACUUAUAGAUGGAUCCGCGCCGUAUUAGCUAGUUGGUAAGGUAACGGCUUACCAAGGCAACGAUGCGUAGCCGACCUGAGAGGGUGAUCGGCCACACUGGAACUGAGACACGGUCCAGACUCCUACGGGAGGCAGCAGUAGGGAAUCUUCCGCAAUGGGGGAAAGCCUGACGGAGCAACGCCGCGUGAGUGAUGAAGGUCUUCGGAUCGUAAAACUCUGUUAUUAGGGAAGAACAAAUGUGUAAGUAACUAUGCACGUCUUGACGGUACCUAAUCAAAAAGCCACGGCUAACUACGUG
Molecule: ribosomal RNA, 497 nt
Filed under: uncultured bacterium
Lineage: Bacteria
Description: partial 16S ribosomal RNA
Rfam family: Bacterial small subunit ribosomal RNA
Source: RNAcentral